This 565-nucleotide small RNA is filed under the name Pan troglodytes (chimpanzee). RNAcentral describes it as "processed transcript". Lineage: Eukaryota; Metazoa; Chordata; Mammalia; Primates; Hominidae. The record is from RNAcentral.
AUGGGGGACGCGGAGCGAGCGAAGUGAGCGAGCUGGAUAAUUCGUGUCCAGUCCCCGGAUGGAGUGAAGCGGAUCACAGCAACAAAGAGAGAAACAGCAGCAACAUUUUUGAAAAAGGUUGCAAAGGAGUUUGGCUUCCAAAAUAAUGGCUUCUCGGUUUACAUCAAUAGAAACAAGACCGGAGAGAUAACAGCCUCCUCCAACAAAUCCCUCAACUUGCUAAAAAUCAAGCAUGGCGAUUUGUUGUUCCUGUUUCCCUCGAGCCUUGCUGGGCCCUCAUCUGAAAUGGAGACGUCAGCUCCACCGGGCUUCAAGGUCUUUGGCGCUCCCAACGUGGUGGAGGAUGAGAUUGAUCAGUACCUCAGCAAACAGGACGGGAAGAUUUACAGAAGCCGAGACCCACAGCUAUGCCGCCACGGCCCUUUGGGGAAAUGCGUGCACUGCGUCCCUCUAGAGGCCAUGCUGCUGGCCUCUCCCUGUGCGUAGCAGAGGCUCGGCGCCUGGAGUGACCGGCACGUGUGAGACUGCACUCGCUUACUCUGUGUCUUGGCAGCCAUUCGAUGAG